Molecule: long non-coding RNA, 324 nt
Organism: Pseudophryne corroboree (corroboree frog)
Lineage: Eukaryota; Metazoa; Chordata; Amphibia; Anura; Myobatrachidae
Exons: 3
Source: RefSeq, a predicted model, not a curated record
AGUGAGCAGAAGGGGGAGAGCAGAGAGAGAGAGAGAGAGAGAGAGAACACUGAUGGGGGAGAAGAGGUUGAGCAGGUUGAGCAAGGGAGGUAUCGGAACUGACUGGCGAGUAAGAAUAGAUACAGCUUUCUGCAAACUCUUUCCUGGAUUAGCAACUGGAUGCAAGGCCGUGACAUAACUACAUUUGCUGGACCCUAUCGCAUAUUUUUAUGUGAGGUCGUGUUAUCUUGAUGUUCAUCAGAAGUGAUAUGCUGUAUCAUGAGAAAUUGGGAUCUCGGUAGUACUUGUUUUAACAUCAUUUGGCAACAUAUUCAUCACUACAUC